GUCUAAAACGACGUUGUUUUGCAU
Molecule: small nuclear RNA, 24 nt
Filed under: Arabidopsis thaliana (thale cress)
Lineage: Eukaryota; Viridiplantae; Streptophyta; Magnoliopsida; Brassicales; Brassicaceae
Description: snRNA_09252
Source: RNAcentral